GGGGAAACUCCGGUUUCCCCUGUCUGAACCCUUGUCUUUUGCGUACUAUUUGUUUCCUUGGUGGGCUUGCCUGCCGAUAGGACAACCAUUAAACCUUUUGUAAUUGCAAUCAGCGUCAGAAAAAAAUUAAUAAUUACAACUUUCAACAACGGAUCUCUUGGUUCUGGCAUCGAUGAAGAACGCAGCGAAAUGCGAAAAGUAGUGUGAAUUGCAGAAUUCAGUGAAUCAUCGAAUCUUUGAACGCACAUUGCGCCCCUUGGUAUUCCAUGGGGCAUGCCUGUUCGAGCGUCAUUUGUACCUUCAAGCUCUGCUUGGUGAUGGGUGUUUGUCCCGCUUUUUGCGUGGACUCGCCUCAAAGCAAUUGGCAGCCGGCGUACUAGCCUGGGAGCGCAGCACAUUUUGCGCAUCUUGUCUUGAACGCUUGCGUCCAUUAAGCAUAUAUUUUAA
This 447-nucleotide unclassified non-coding RNA is filed under the name Neocucurbitaria sp. FMR 17840. RNAcentral's name for it is "sequence contains 28S rRNA gene". The stretch from base 138 to 291 matches the Rfam family "5.8S ribosomal RNA". Lineage: Eukaryota; Fungi; Ascomycota; Dothideomycetes; Pleosporales; Cucurbitariaceae. The record is from RNAcentral.